Oryctolagus cuniculus (rabbit) is the source of this 764-nucleotide non-coding RNA. NCBI's taxonomy places the organism in Eukaryota, Metazoa, Chordata, Mammalia, Lagomorpha, Leporidae. The record is from RefSeq and is a predicted model, not a curated record.
UCUAGCCCACACCCUGCAGCAGUACCUGAAGGAUUUGCUCACCGUGCAUGACCCUGAGACCUGUAAGGGCAGGGCUUCCGACGACUGCUCACUGAGGCUGUCCGGCUGUCAGCGUGCCUUGAGGACCUGCUUGGAGCAGAAAAUAUUGAAGAGGAGGAAACACCAGCACAAGGACCUGUUGUUGACAGGGAGCUCUUGGAAGUGGAUGAGAUGGAAACCCCACCAAGUUCACAGCAGGAAACAUCUACCACUGGUGUUGUUGACCACCUGCCCAGUGACUCCUGCCUGCCUGAGGGCACUGUGCAAAUGUCUCCUGAUGCUGAGGUCACCCACAGUGUGCCAGGUGUAGACUGGGAACACGCUUGUUCACACAAGAAGAAGAACCUGUCACCGUUCUCCCAGGUAGCCUCUCCCUUCUUUGUACACAGGGACUCUCAGGUUGAGGGUUGCUUUUGAGCACAGGCCCUGCAGACACAGUUGGUUUCCAUCAGGUCCAGGUUGUGGCACUGAACAUAGACAUCAGGAGAGUCAAGGAGCUUCCCUCCCCUCAGAUGCUGUUUGUCUCACUGCACCCUAGCCUGUGGGAACAUACUUAGGCCCUGUGUAGGAAGUGCCUUUCAGACCCUCUAACUUAGAAAUAAUGCCUGCUGUCACCUGCAGUGAUAUCAUUCUGUGCUACUCCUGCAUCCCUGGAGUUCUAGCCCCAUGCAGGCUUUUGGUAACACUUCCCAUGUGUGGGCCAAGUUGUGAUCCUAGCUUCCCGA